GGAACUUUAGUUGUGGGAGGAAGAAGCCAGUUCCUUGCUAUUUUUAGGUAUACGAUUAGAAAUCGGAGGGUUUAAGGUUAUGCACUUGCUUUGGAUGUGACUGCCAGAGAAAUUCAAGCUUCUACUAAGGUAAUUAUCAAUAAUUUGAUUGUUUAAUGCGAUCAAACGUGGUAGUGAAAUGUUAAAUUUGAUGGCUACAAGUUUCUAAUUAGAAUGCUAAUGCUGCAAUUCAUGAUGAUCAAUAUGUUCUGACUUAAACAGUUACUGCAAAUGUAUCGUUGCUUUGUGAUGAAUAAGUUAUCUUUUUCAUAUAAGACUUUUUGUUUCUGGAUACUAAGUCUAAAAUAAAGAUUUCAGAGCAAAACGUUGAUCGAGUAUAAGUGAGUUGUGAUUUUGUAGUUUUUAUAUGUUUCCAGAUAAAAGUUAGGAUCUGCAGAGAUUAGAAAGUGAAAAAGGGCAAAGGAAAGUGAUGCUGACUCAUGAAAGAUGGUUCAAAUCUCUGUUGGAGGUACAUUAGAUUUAUGUUUCUGAAGUGUUAAGUACAUUGUUAGGACUACAGAUUUGGAUUGAACUCAAUGUUCUCACUGUGUAUAUUUAAAUAUAUGUGUGUGUAUAGAUGUGUGUGUGUGAAUAUAUGUGUGUAUAUAUAGAUUUAUACAUAAAAGGGAAGAUGGAUGGAUAGGUGUAUGCUUACUCCGUAAAAGAAGAAGAGAAAACGAAAACCACACCAAACAACUGGCAUUUAAAGCUCUUUUUCUUUUUCUCUUUUGAAAUAAAUCUCUCUCUUUGUUAGAUUGUUAGGGGGCUGCACUGUGUGAGGGCCAUGUAUGUUUUAUUACGGUCGUAUCUAUAGUUUUGGGAACUGGAGAAAAGAAGUGGAACAAACCAUUUGCAUGGCAGAGGCCGACUUGAUUAUUUCUCAAAUUUGUAG
Molecule: long non-coding RNA, 931 nt
Filed under: Malus domestica (apple)
Lineage: Eukaryota; Viridiplantae; Streptophyta; Magnoliopsida; Rosales; Rosaceae
Description: long non-coding RNA (MDOM_LNC010463)
Source: RNAcentral